AGACAUAUCUAUAUGCAUGUGGUACCAAUUCAUCAUAAUUUUGGAUAACUUAAUCCGAAUGUUUUUGAUAAUUUCUCAAUAGUUAGUUUUUUUACAUUUAUUUUAAGUCAUUUUUUAGUUAUGUUGAAUCAAUUCAGAGUAUUUUUAAAGUCAAACUGAGCAAAAGAAAAGAGGAUUUUGAACAUAUUCAGUUGUGUUGGUCAGUCUUGUAACUCUUGUUUAUAAUUCUCUCUAACCAAACAAAUUCUUGGAGUUUUUGUUAGCUAUUCAUUUUUGAUAGGUUGAGUUGACAAAAUAAGCUUAUGCAUGAGAAACCAAGAACAAGGUUCACGCACAAACCAAAGCAGGGACCUAUUUCCAUAAGAAAAUUGCAAAACAAAUUUCUCUACAAUAAAUUUCUCUACAAUAAUGCUUUUGGAGAAUUCAACUAGCCUAAUGUGGUCCCCACACGUUAAAUUACAGCCCAAAGUUACUCACCUCUUAUUAAAUCCAACGUGGCACAUCAUGAAGGAAUUAAAGCACAUGAUUGGAUCAAGGGAUAUAAUUGGAUUCUAAAGAGGGUUAUAUAAGUGGAGAGAGAGGAAGAACAAGGGGGUUGAAAAACGGAGGAGUAAAAGACGAUACGGAAAAUACACAGUGACGGCUGCAACUUGGGAGACCAAUUGGAGGGUGAUUCAACUGGCUUUGAUCAUCAUUCAACGGCAAUUCUAUGUGUAAUCCUCAAUUCCUUUUUAGUUUUUUGACAAAUAUUAUGAGUAGCUAAAUUUCCAAUUGUUAGGGAUGAGUUAUAUUG
Molecule: long non-coding RNA, 793 nt
Filed under: Trifolium pratense (red clover)
Lineage: Eukaryota; Viridiplantae; Streptophyta; Magnoliopsida; Fabales; Fabaceae
Description: long non-coding RNA (TPRA_LNC008949)
Source: RNAcentral